UUACGGUCACAUCAUGUUGAAACACCAGUUCCCAUAUAAUCACCAAAGUUAAGCAAUGUUGAGUCUGGUCAGUACCCAGAUGGGUGACCGUUUGAAAAUACCAGGUACUGUAAG
Molecule: non-coding RNA, 114 nt
Organism: Acanthosepion pharaonis
Lineage: Eukaryota; Metazoa; Mollusca; Cephalopoda; Sepiida; Sepiidae
Source: the annotation of a GenBank genome assembly